GAUGAACGCUGGCGGCGUGCUUAACACAUGCAAGUCGAACGGAAAGGCCCAAGCUUGCUUGGGUACUCGAGUGGCGAACGGGUGAGUAACACGUGGGUGAUCUGCCCUGCACUUCGGGAUAAGCCUGGGAAACUGGGUCUAAUACCGGAUAGGACCACUUCUUGGAUGUUGUGGUGGACAGUUUUUUCGGUGUGGGAUGAGCUCGCGGCCUAUCAGCUUGUUUGUGGGGUAAUGGCCUACCAAGGCGUCGACGGGUAGCCGGCCUGAGAGGGUGUACGGCCACAUUGGGACUGAGAUACGGCCCAGACUCCUACGGGAGGCAGAAGUGGGGAAGAUUGCACAAUGGGCGCAAGCCUGAUGCAGCGACGCCGCGUGGGGGAUGACGGCCUUCGGGUUGUAAACUCCUUUCGCUAGGGACGAAGCGUUUUGUGACGGUACCUGGAGAAGAAGCACCGGCUAACUACGUG
This 467-nucleotide ribosomal RNA is filed under the name uncultured bacterium. RNAcentral describes it as "partial 16S ribosomal RNA". It matches the Rfam family "Bacterial small subunit ribosomal RNA", at positions 28 to 507 of the family's 1533-position model. The record is from RNAcentral.